ACGCUACGUAUGCUACUGUCUCUCUUCCUUUCUUUUUUUUUCUCUCUCGCUCUCUCGCUCUCUCUCUCGCUCUCUCUUUCUGUCUGUCUCUUUUGUUACCAAUACCAAUACAUUACACACGAAAUGUGUACGCUAACAUGUUUUGUUAUUACCGUUAGAUUCGACUUUUUUCUUCGUUUCACGUAUCGGUCGUUCAUCGAUACACACAUAAGGGGACUUUUCUCCUCGUAUUCUAUGUAGGCAAAGGAAAGUAGGAGUCAUGCCGAUAUCGAGAAAAAUCAACGAUCGUUAUGUUUAAUUCAUUAAUUUUAACGAUUAUUAUCUCUUCUCGGAUCGAUUAAAAAAUUAAUACGAAACGUCGUCUCAUAUAUCUAUACGAUAGAUGAUCUAUUCGAUUAAAUCGAUUGUGUCGAUUAAUAUACCUUUUUAUUCUUCAUCAUGAUACAUAGAUACUUGAUUGGUCACUUCCGGAACUGAUUACUCAACGAACCAAUCCUUUACUUCAAUUUUAAAUUUACAAUUUUCCAACGGUUAAAAACUUUCCUAGAGUUUAUAUAUUUAUCCUAUCGAUCUAAAUAAUAAGUAUAAUUAUUAGAAAUAAGAAAAUUAUAUAACAUUAUUUCAAUAAUCCAAUAUUUAUUUUAAAUGAAUUAAUAGAAAAAAAAAAAAAAAGAAAAACAAAGAAAAAUUAUGCAGAAAAUAAUAUUAAAAUUUGUCCAUGGAGCGAAUCUAUCUUAGGAGAUGAAGUUGGUGCUGCCAGCUAUCGAAGGCAAACGCAAGGCGAGUUCCUGCCUACCUACGUGGCUGCAUAUGCUAAUGUUCCCGCGUCCUCUUCACCGUAUCAGAAGCAGUUCACGGACCAGAUGUGCAGCAUGAUGCAACAGUUGUAACUUCUGCUUCAGAAAAGCAACGCGAUAUUGUAUGCUUUUCGUCGACCGUCUAUGUAUCUUGACGAUUACGAUAUCCGUCUUCCUCUACUCUGCAAGGACGAUUUCAAAUAUGGACUUGCUUAAUAAAUAUAUAAUUUAAAGGGGUUGGAAUAAAAAAAAAAAAAAAAAAAAAAGAAAAAAAAAAGGAAAAGAAAAGAAAAACCAACGUAAAAUAUUUAUAAACUUUAAAAAUCAAAAGGAUCUUUCGUAAUGAAACAGUUUACAUUAUGGUUUUGCGAUAGACGACUUAUCGUUGUACGCUUUUUGAUCUUUCUAUUUUAUAAGGUGACGGCACCGUCAUCGUAACUUCGAUGCUGUCUACAUACAUAAUUGCAAAAAAACAAGCUUACGAAGUAAUGCGAUCUAUAACGUAUGUAGGAAUAUAUCUUAAUUAAGAAAGUAUAAUUCUAUUAAAAGAUACAUAUAUUAAUCAUAUUUCAUCAAUACAUGAUUUUCAAAGAUUCAAAAAUCAUUAUAUACAUACUAAAAUAUAAUUAUUUUAGAAAUGAUAAUUAUCUUUAAACUAUGCUGCCUCUUUUCGUUCAUGAUGAACAGUAAAAUACAUAUGCACCUCUAAAGUAACCCUGUCAUUUGAUACUCCGAACUCUAUGCAAAUCUAUAUCCUCGGUAUCUAUUUAUAAACGCACUAAAGAACGAUAUAUCAAAGUCGAUGGACGAACCACAGCUCAACAACGUCCUACGCUCCCCUACUGUGAAAACUGCUCACACUAGCUCUCUCUUUCCUUCUCUCUCUCUCUCUCUCUCUCUCUUUCUAUAUAUCUCUAUCUCUAUCUCUCGUUUGUUCGCUCGCUUGCUCGCGUGUUUCUAUAUUCUACGUCCUUAGACACAAUUAUCUUAAUUAGAGUCCGUCUAUGGCCAAUGACAAUGAGACGGUUGUGACGUACCAAUUCUACCGAAAAAUUGCUCUUUCCUCAAAUGUAAUUACAUAUGUCCAUAGAUUUUUGUCUAUCUAGAUGAGUUUUUAAAUUUAUUACAUAGUCCUUUCAACGUAAGGGACAUUGAUCAUUUCAUCACCUACGAGUGUUAAUUGUUAUCGUGCAUUAGAAAAAGCGACGGUAAAACUAUUGACAUGGAUAAUUUUCAACUGUUAUUUUUCUCAGAAUUUAUGUGGUAAUCAUUAACUAUGAUUCUCGUGAAAGCGUUGAUUGAUUUCUAACAUGAUAUCACUUCGUUGCUCGUUCUCUUUAUGAGUAUGCUUCUCAUUGAUUAUCUACGUGUUUAGAGAUCACUCGAAGGAAGCAUUACAAUGAUGAGUUUUCAUUGUAAGUAUGUAUUUAUAAGAGUCACAUGUAAUAAUAACAUCCUGUUGUCAACAUAAUUUUUUUUUUCUAUCAUGUAUAAAUAUUACUAUAAAUAUCAAAAACACGUAAAUAAAUGAAAUCGAAAGUUAUCUAAAAUUUUACAAGCUAUGUAAGUUGUAUAUUAUAAAUCAUCACUCGAAUCAUGAUCAUAAGAUGUUCCAUAGCGUUGGAGAACACGCGUGCGCACUGAUCUUUGGAAUGUACUUGUUAGACCCGGUCAAACCGGUUCGUUGGACGUUACACGUUGAGAACCUCUGCGGGUCAAUCGUGUCAAUUGUGACGAAUGUAUGUCGAGUCUGCGGAUGGUUCUUCUCUUUGGGUGCUUUAGAAAUAAUCUACGAUCACAUAUUCAAUAAUAUAUCAUAUAUAUAUAUAUAUAUAUAUAUAUAUGUGUGCGUAUAAAUAAUGCAUAUUUUUUAAUUAACACAUUAUAAUUUACUUGACUCGACCUUGAGAAUAUUGCAUUAAGUAACAAAAUAUAAUUGCAAAGGAAACUCAUUACAUAGACGACUUCCUAUAAGAUUUGCAUAAUGUUUAUAGAUUUAUGGAAAUCGUAUGUGUGUAUGUCUCUUUGUAUGUAUGUAUAAUACAUGUGAUAAUGAAGUGACAUUACUGUCCGAAUCGCUGACGGAGAUACACACAAAGAAGAGCAAUACAUCUGGCGUCCUACUUACAAUAUGGAAUAAUUAAAGUAGUAGUAAAGUUUACGAGACAUACCUAAACAACUUCUAUCUCUCAUUGUCAAUAUGUCAACAGAAAAUAGAAAUCGUUGAUGAAUUAAUGAUUUAUAGCUCGUAAAAAUAUGAACAUUGAACAUUGAACGAAAAAAAAUGAAAAUCACAAAGUAUAUAAUUAUAAAAGUUUAGUAGUAAAAAAAAAAAAAAAAGCGAAUUUUGUUUCGAGUUGAUCGACUCCAUUGGUUUAACGUUCCUCUCUUGUACAAGUGGAAUCUCGCGAAAGCGUAUAGUAUAGUUUCGAAGAUAAAUUUUCAAACCGGUUUCACUCUAUAAGCACGGGCCAAACUCGUUGAAGAAGAAGAAGGAAUUUGAAAUCAUGCGACAAACACAUAGUAGGAAAUACGUAUAUAAACAUCUAUAUAAAUAUAUGAAUAUAUACGUAUGUGUAUUUGAAGAUCAAACGAUCCUUCUUCUCUUACUUUUUUUUUUUUUUUCUACCACGAUCAUUCUCGAUCAUCGACGAACGAAGCCAUUUUUUUAUUCGCAGAAGAACCACAAGAUACACAUCCUGAUGUCUCGCUCAGAUAUAUUCUACCAAUCGAUGUUCACCAAGUCUCCUCACGAACUUUAUUCACGGACAAGUAGAAUCCAUAUAUAUAUAUAUACACCUUCAAUAUUUCAUCAAGAAAUAGCUAUUAUUUUGAGACUUUCUAUUCUUAAAAGCAUUCGAAAGAAUAAUUCAUCAAGGAGACAUUGUUCUUUUCGUAAUAUCAAAAACUCCAUUAAAAACAUCCAGACGAGCAAUUUCUGUUGUUUCGAAUAGGGCGCUACGUAUGAACAUUGGUAUGCAUAGUGAGUACAUAUACGAGCUGUUAGAAUCACAAAGGAAGCUGGAUUGGAACAAAGAAAGAAAGGAGAACCGAUCAGAGACAGAAGGAUCGUUCAGAAAGCCAUCUUACACGAGCUUGGACAAAUCAAGAAUAAUAAGUUUACAAGUUCGUCGACUUGCCUUUUGUUGAACACGAACGUUUUUCCUCUUUCUUUUUUUUUUUUCUUUUUCUUUUCUUUUCUUCACUUUUUUUCUUCUUUUUUCAUGCAAAUUACUUCGAAGGAAUUCCAAUGGAAUUUUAGAAGAACGCAUUCGAUUUGGAAAGAAAAAAAAUGAGGGAGAGAGAGAGAGAGAAAGAGGAGAGAGAGUAAGAGAGAGAGAGAGAGAGAGAGAGAGAUACGAUUUUCGAAAGUUAGUCUGAUGAGAGCUGAGAGCAAUGUCAACCGCCCACGCAGAAAAGACUAAGGGCUCUAAAGGAGGAGACUAACUCAAACGAGAAAGCAUCCAGCUGCUCUCCAGACUUCUCUAGCAUCUCUACGAGAGUUCUGCUUUUAUAGCCUCAACUAAAGCCGGUCUUUGUUCGAGGGACCACCGAGAUACGGCCCACGCGGGCCUUUCAUAUGAAUAAUACCUGAACUCGUGAGACCCAACCAUGUCGAGUCAAGGGGCUGAGUUACAGUUAUAUACGUGUCCUAUGUACAUACAUAUAUUUAAGUAUAUAACGCAACCCAGAGAGACUCGUAGACUCUCGGAAAUAUUCUCUCGAUAAUAUUGAAAUUUUUCCCCUACAAUUCCAAUUUACUCUCUCGAUAAAUCACAAUUUUAAUUAAGUGUUCGUUCCCACCGAUACUUCAUUCGUUAUCAAGGAUAAUUAAUCGUUGUUGAUUCGUCGAUAGAUUUAUCGUAGCUUUCUAUAUGAUCGCUGUCAAUCAGAGGAACUUUAUCCUUUCUGUUAUUCGUGACUAAUAACGCUAAAAGACGGAAGAAUUGAAAUUGAUUUCCAAGUGAAAUUCCAUACUUUCUACGUAUAGAUUAGAUAUAAUUAGCUUUACUGACCCUUAGAUAUCUCUUAUUACGUGACUGGAAAAGGAUUUCAUUCUUUUUAGAAGAUCUUCGAAGAAUGAUUCCACUGUCUGAUUCACAGUUUCUUUUCUGAAUGCAUACACAGAUACAUACGCGCAUAUAAAUUUUUUGUAACGUUUAUUUUCAAGCGUAAUUUAAUUAUUGCUAAUUAAAAAUUAUCCUCAUUUAUUACGAAAAUAUUUAUUUAGAAUUUAUCAUAGAUAAUCGUAUUUUAAUUUAUCGUAGUAUUAGAACGUACAUAAGUGACGUAUUUAACGUACGUCAAUUACUUUCGAAUUUAUAGGUCACCAUGUAUAAUGUCUAUAUCAACGAUCUUAACGAUUUAACGAUCUUAACUAUAGAGAGACUCGCUUAAGGAGUCAACGCAACGUAUACUUACCUGCUACGCAUAUGCGUACGUUCUUGUAUUUUAAAUGUCGUCAAGUUAACGCACGUACAAAAAGAAUGUCUUUGACUGUGUAAGAGCAUUGACACGCAAAUAGCGAUUUAAGCUUUCUUCUUGACACUGUCACGCGAUACAACGUUUUAAUCUGGCCACGUUCGUGAACAUGGAAAACAAACUUACGUGUUUCGAGUAAUAGUUUGAAAUGGAACGAAUACUUAAAAAAAGAACAAAGGUUCUCAAAUUACUUUACAAACAUCAACUGAUAUUAUAUAUUUGUAUAUAUUUUUUUUCUUUUCUUUAUACAUAACACUGCAAUAUCUUCGCUGAGAUCGUUUUAGAAGGUAUCAGAGAGAACAAAAAAUGGAUUAUAAAAAUAAAAAAAAUACUUCGUCGUAAAAUACGCCUAAGAAGAUUUUAACGAAGUAAGACCGUAUGAAUGGGGGCUUAAGGCAGCUGGAAGAAGAUUGGAGAUCAUGAUCGAGUCACAACAAAUAAGCUCGUUAAUCUAGUCUUCCCUCGUGAAAUAAACUGAGCAAGGAGAGGAUUUUUUUUUUUUUCAUUUAGCGUUAUGGACUCGUUGAAAGUCUAAUUUCAAGGACAACUCUGCUAAUCAUCGAAGCGAACGUUCUUUUUCAUUUGUUUUUUUUUAGUUCUUUUUCUUUUUCUUUUUCUUUUUCUAUUUCACGAGCUAGCUACGAAGAAAAGAUUAAAAGAAGGCAGCUCAAAGCCGACUCGUUCUCAUAAAAAUCGGUCCAUCGUUUCUUUCGUUGGUACAUAAGUACAAUGGAAGUGAUAAAUAGAAAAGGGCUCAUUUCGAGAGUCGAAAGAGGGAACUCGAAGGACCAUAGAUGGCUGUUAGAAAAGGGUUCGGCUCUUUUGUUUUCUUCCCAUUCGAUUCGCAUUCUUAAGUUCCGUUUUUCGCUGCGUCAACCCCUCUCAACAGGCAAGCCAUUGUGUUAAGAACACCACUUUCAGAACUGGCACUAAAUGAACACGUUUCUUCGUAACAUGCACAUCCCGUUUAAUAUUUUUCCCAUGUUUUUCUUUUUUUUCUUCUUCUUUCUUUCAUUUUUUAUUUAUCCCACAAAAAAAAAAAAGAA
Vespa crabro (European hornet) is the source of this 6325-nucleotide long non-coding RNA. RefSeq lists it as uncharacterized. The record is from RefSeq and is a predicted model, not a curated record. The transcript has 3 exons. NCBI's taxonomy places the organism in Eukaryota, Metazoa, Arthropoda, Insecta, Hymenoptera, Vespidae.